GCGAUUAAAAUUAUUGGAUGGUUUUAUUAAAAUAUUAGUUUAUUUAGUUUAUUAAAAAAUUUAUUUAUAUAAUAGUUCACAAUUACUGUAGGGGAAAUUUGAAAUAGGUUGAAAUAAAUGAGCAUUGAUAAGAAGAGUUAAUUUUUUGUACCUUGGGUAUCAGGGUUUAUUAAAAAGUUCCUAUUGAUUUAGUUUUCCCGAAUUUUGAGGAGCUAGUAAAAAAUUUAUUUUAAUGUUGAAUAAUUAUUUAUAAUUUUAUACUUGAAAUGAAACGUUAUUCGUCUCUAAAGAUAUCUGGUUUUUUAAGAAAAAAAUUUAAUUUUGCUAAUUUCUUUUAAAAAUUUUAAAAUUUUUGUAAAAAAUUUAGUAAUAAGGUGAGGGAUAAGCUUCACUUUAAAUGACUAUAAUAUUUAAGUAUAUUGGGUUUGUAGGAUUAAAAUUUUUCAUCAUUUUUAGUAUGUUAUAAUAAUCUCAGUUUAUAUAAUAUUUAGGUAGUUUUAGGUUGUUUAUUAAAAAAUCUAAUUUAAUUUGUGAUUGGAGUUACAAUGAUGGAAUUAGUAAAUAUUUUUUUAAGUUUAAUUUUUAAUUUUAGGUUAUUUUAAGUAACUAGGCAAUUAUUUUUCCACCUGUUUAUUAAAAACAUGUCCUUUUGUCUAAUAAUUUAAGGUCUAAUCUGCCCAAUGAUUUGAAUUAAAUGGCCGCGAUAUCUUGAUCGUGCGAAGGUAGCAUAAUCAUUAGUUUCUUAAUUAGAAGCUUGCAUGAAAGAUUGGAUGAGAUAAAUACUGUCUCGGAGUAAAAGGUUGAAUUUUAUUUUUAAGUAAAAAAGCUUAGAUUUUUUUAAAAGACGAGAAGACCCUAUAGAGUUUAAUAAUUAAAUUUAAUUGAUGUAUAAGGGAUUUAAUGGUUUAAUUUUUUUUAAUUAUUUGGUUGGGGUGACAGGAAAAUUUUAUUAACUUUUUUUUAGUUGGAUAUUAAUAAAUAGGUUUUUGAUUUGUUUAACAGUUAAAAGAUUAAAUUACCUUAGGGAUAACAGCGUUAUUUUUCUUGAGAGUUCAAAUCGAAAGAAGAGUUUGCGACCUCGAUGUUGGAUUAAAAUAUAUUCUUGGUGUAGGAGCUGAGUUAGUUAGUCUGUUCGACUAUUAAAAUUUUACAUGAUCUGAGUUUAAACCGGCGUGAGCCAGGUUGGUUUCUAUCUUUAAUUUUAUAAUAUAUUUUAGUACGAAAGGACCAAAUAUGUGUUAAAUUAAUUUUUUAUCGAAUUUUAUU
This 1266-nucleotide ribosomal RNA is filed under the name Coraebus diminutus. RNAcentral's name for it is "16S ribosomal RNA". The stretch from base 1026 to 1184 matches the Rfam family "Bacterial large subunit ribosomal RNA", at positions 2473 to 2632 of the family's 2925-position model. The record is from RNAcentral. Lineage: Eukaryota; Metazoa; Arthropoda; Insecta; Coleoptera; Buprestidae.